GGUUCCGCUCCGGGAAGCGGCCGGGAACGGGGCCGGUCCGGUCCGGUCCGGAUGGGCUCGGGGAGCCGCGGGGCGGGCGCGGAGCGCAGCCCAAGAAAGCUGGACCCUGGAGAUCUUCCCUCACUGACGUGGCUGUUCGGACACAGCCUUCUCCUCCUCCUGCUGCAAUAGCAAUGCUAGUGUCCCCAUGCAGCUGCAGUGAGGAGCUCUUGGCUUGGUCAGGAGUGAAUCCCCAGCUUGGCGUAGCAGCGCCAGUGGCUAUGGAGUGACCUGUGCUCCGGGUGCGUGGCUGAAGCGGCUGCCUGGGCACCGAAUGCGCCCGGCCCACGUGCUCCUCGCCUCUGCCAUGAAUGAUGCAUCGACGAUGGAUUAUGAACUGCUGUCCCCCUCCUUGGUUGAGCACCCAGCCGGCUCUGCGGGUAUGGAUGCUGAGCAGAAAACCGUCUUUGCCUUUGUCAUCUUCCUUCUGGUCUUCUUGGUGAUGCUGAUGGUGCGCUGCUUCCGCAUCCUGCUGGACCCCUACAGCCGCAUGCCCGCCUCCUCCUGGACUGACCACAAGGAGGGGUUGGAGAGGGGCCAGUUUGACUACGCCUUGGUGUAGAGGGCAGGGAUGGGGCGAGCCUGGGUGCUCUGUGUGCCUCCCACCCCGGCUGGCCCCGGCCCCGGCCCCCCCUUCCUCUGUGGUGUUGCCCUGGGCCAGCAAGGAUGCUCUGGGCAGGGAGGGGAGGUCAGGCUCUCGCCCGGGGUGGGUUUUCUAGGGGUUUCUCUCUUUUCUAAGCACUUUUCAGUUCUCUUUGCAGUCUGCAGGACUCUUGGAGAGAUAUGUUGGAGGGGGAGAUGUGGCUCUGCAUGGUCCCUGCUGCCCACCGUGGGACAGGGGCAGGAGGUGAUGGGGCAGGGCAUGGCGGGACCUGCCCUUGGCCACAGCCCACAGGGCUCCUGCUCUGGGUGGCUCUGCCUGGUGCCAGGCCAGAGCUUUGACCCCCACCUCCUCCUGCCCCCCCAUGUCACCCUCGUCUGUGUCCUCCGGGGAGUGCUGAUCGUGGUCCAGUGCGUGUGUGUGUGUGUCCCUGUAGCUGAGCUGUGUCUGUCAGGGGGUUUAUAGGCACCAGACCCAAGUGCUGGCUUUGUUCUUCUCUGUGUGGCAGCCCCAAGUGCCCCCCACCCCCAGUCCAUAAGUGAUGGGGAGAUGGAGAACCUCUCCCUCCACCAUGGAAAUAAAGCUGCACUGUGCUAACCCCA
This 1242-nucleotide long non-coding RNA is filed under the name Strigops habroptila (Kakapo). Its description in RNAcentral is "lncRNA (ENSSHBG00005016974.1)". Lineage: Eukaryota; Metazoa; Chordata; Aves; Psittaciformes; Psittacidae. The record is from RNAcentral.